Anas platyrhynchos (mallard) is the source of this 1089-nucleotide non-coding RNA. The record is from RefSeq and is a predicted model, not a curated record. Lineage: Eukaryota; Metazoa; Chordata; Aves; Anseriformes; Anatidae.
UCCUCACUGCCGAAGGAAAUAAAUAUUUUGUUAUGCUGUUUCGGUUUCAAACACCACAGAUGGAAGUCUUGGCCCUCACCAGUCAUCGCGUUGCAGAAAUCCCCGUGUACCUUUGAGAAGUCGGGGUGGGGAUGAGCGAAGUGGUCCUCUGGAAAAUCCCUGCAGAACAUCGUGCUGCAGGCAACUCAGGAAAUUGAGGAAAUAUUCAGAUAAGUUGGAAGUGGUCCUGCUGCACAAGAAUGAGAAAUUGCCCAGCCCACGUGGUUCUGUGACAUUGUUCUUCAGCUGCAGUUCUUGGGAGAUCGCCGCAAUUGUUAACAUCCAAACAAAAACAGUCUAAUGAAAGUGUUUUAAUCUGCUGAUCAGCUAUUCAGAGAGGAAGGGAUAGCCGUGCUAGGUGUCUUUGGAGUGUGGAAAUUAAUGCGGCAGUGAUCAGGCAUCAACAAGGAUGAGAACUCCUCUGUGAACUGUGAAGCUGAUGGGACAUCUGCUGUUCCUCCUUGGCACCACGGGGAUUUGAUCGGAUAACAUAAGGCUUGUUGCUGGUGAGCAGCGGUAGCAGAUUGUCAUCAACAAGCAUUUAUUAGAGUUUGAAGAUUGAAGGAGAUUUGUCUCAGGUGUCACAGUGAACACAGGAAGAAGGACGAGAAGGGGAUGUGGUUGGCUACAGAUCUUUAAAGAGAGGAUGUGAUCCAGCCUUGAGACUGUUUUCAGCUGUAACAAAUGCCUUCCAUGAGAUGUCAGUCCAGGGGUACCUUUGUGGUUGUUGUAAGGGCAAGAAAAAUAUGCAGCAAGAAGUUCUCGUCCUCCUUCCCGUGGCUGCUCCUGCCCCUCUGCUCCUGCUGACUGUCACGGGAGUUCAGGAUCAGCCCCCUGGUCUGGCAGUGAAGAGCCCUGGUCUGCAUUGAGUCCCUGACAACAAAAAGGAUGCACCCUUGGUAUAAAGGAAAAGGCUCCUCAGAAGGUUUUCCUGACGUGAUGGAACAAUUGCCAUGCUUCGUUGCUGCAAAGUGCCCUGCCUUCAUGUACUGACCUCAAGCAAGAGCGAGACAUGGUGACGUAUCUCCUCACACUACGGUUCCCAGAAAU